AAACGCAGGCUACGGGAGCCAGCAGUGGCAACACGCUCGGGUCCCCUUCCACACUGUGGAAGCUUUGUUAUUUCACUCUUUGGGUCCACACUGCUUUUAUGAGCUGUAACACUCACCGCAAAAGUCUGCAGCUUCACUCCUGAAGCCAGGGAGACCACGAGCCCACCGGGAGGAACGAACAACUCCAGACGCGCCACCUUAAGAGCUGCAACACUCGCCGCGAGGGUCCGCGGCUUCAUUCUUGAAGUCAGUGAGACCAAGAACCCACCAAUUCCGGACACAGCACCAGUGAUGGAGGCUGACAUGAUGUAACAGUCAGAAAAGAAGACUUGACAAUCAAAUGAAACAUAUGAAGAUGCUAGGUUGCUGGCUUUGAAGAUGGAAGAAAGGACCGCAAGGCAAGGCUGCAGGCAACCCCUAGAAACUGAAAAAUGAAAGGCAGCUGUUUGUCGACUUUCACCUCCAGAAGGAACGCAGCCCUCCCUGACACAGAGUAGAGGAUUUCUGACCUCUAGAACUGUAAAAUAAUAAAUUUGUUGGUUUAGACCACUAAAUUUGUACUAUUUUUCUAAGCAGUAAUUAGAGACUGGUAAAAAUUGUAGUACUUGAAAAUGUGAUGCUGCUAUAACAAAUAAAAAUUUGAAAUUGGCUUUAGGAUUG
RNAcentral lists this long non-coding RNA (660 nucleotides) under Homo sapiens (human). RNAcentral describes it as "novel transcript". Lineage: Eukaryota; Metazoa; Chordata; Mammalia; Primates; Hominidae. The record is from RNAcentral.